UCUCUGCUAACAAUCUGCUCAAUUCUUUCUGAACAGUUAUCAUAGGAUAUAUGCCUAAUUUUUAACCAAAGCAUCUGUCUGUAGUAUUGGCUGCAUGUAUUAGAAAUCACUGCUUCAUACCUAUCAAGUCUCAGAAUGCAAGUAAAACUGGCCCUUUUUAUGGAUGGUGAAACUACAUUUCUUGAAACAGUCUUGCUCUAUGGGGUCUGAUUUGAAGAUAGGGGCACAAUUCUAACUGGGACACUCGGGACAGAAGGCCAUGACAGUGAUAAGCAGUGGAAUGCAAAACUGCAAGCUUACAGCUAUUUGCAAUCAAUAGCGCCUUCUGAAAACACUUGAAACAGUAGAGCCAUGUGGCUAGAAAGUGAUACAGAGGAAGACUAUUCACUCCAGUUUCCAUCCUAAAUAAGUUAAAUGCAUGUUUGCAGUUCAUUGGGCUAAAAUGUUAAUUCUUGUUGAAAUAGCUAUAUUUGGAGUUACUUGUAAGUAUGGUACAAAAUGCCGUCUUCUCCAUUCACAAAGAUUAACUUUAUUGAAAAAUUAUACAAAUAAUUUUCUCAUUCAGACCAUCCUUUUAGAUAUAGUUUUUUGUUGGUACCAGGUACAGAGUAAAAAGACAUUUGUGUUUAUGUGGGAUGCACUCUGCAGAGGUCUCGCUGUAUAGAUGGGACCUACUGAUGCUACUUCUAGCAAAAUAAUAAUGCUACUAGUAAUCAACAGAAAAAGGACUUCAUCAAGGCUCAGAAAGUGAUAUGUCACCCAAGGGAUGUAGUAUUAUAUUUUUAGCAUUUCUUCUCAAACUCAACUGUACCAGCUUCCUGUUGCUUCUUCACCAGUCUGACUUCGGCAUUCAGAUAUUUGUUCAGUUCCAGGUUUUUUGUAUGUUUGUGUUUUAGGCUUGAGCUUUGGGAAUAAUUAUGUAGUUUGAGGUCCUUCUCCUAGCUCAUCUUAAGUUCAUGUGUCAUUUUCAAGUCUGAGUUUCUUUCCUUCUCAAGUAAAUUCAUUAGUCUGACUGCUUGACUUUAGCACAGUUCAGGUUGCUUAUCUGCAGAGAUAUGAGACCAAGCAGAUCUGCUAACAUGCAAAACUAAGAUAAAAGCAUUAAAAAAAAAAAAAGUCUUCCUGCAAACGGGCCUGCUUUAUAAUAAACCAGAACAGUGCAUGAAUUAAGAUGUUGUUGAAAUGCUUGAGUGUCUCUGCCCUUUUAUUACAUCCAGGGUGAUGAGGUCAUGGCUUACUGUUUAGCUUAUAUGGUGCAAUUAAGAGAUUCAUUUCUUAAUGUGAUUCAUCUCAGGAAGAGUUGACUCAAAAGUUUUAGGGGAGAGGCAAGAUGUUGGAAAAUUAUGGUUUUCUUUUGGAAGUUUGAGUUCGUUUUUUCAUUCCAGGCGAGAAUAAGAACUGCAAUAAGCAAGUAUCAGAUUACUUAGUAGCAGGGAAUUUGAUUACUUAAUGCCAGUAAAGCUAAGGAGAUAGUUUUGGUUCUUGGCUCUUUUUCCCUCUUUGGAAUGGUGGCAAAAAUUUCAACUAAAUAUUUGUUUUAUUAAGAGAUCCUUAGAUCUCUGUGUGUAGAGGUGUUUAAAUGAAACACUAUCUCAAAUGUGUGUGUGUGUAUAUAUAUACACACAAGUAUGCAUUAUAUUUAUAUUAUAUAUUUAUUUGUAUUAUGUGUUUGUAUCAUUUUUAUGUCUGUAUCAUUUUUAUUGUGUUGUUUAUCUAUUGAGCCUUGGCUGAAUCCUUUUAAAUGUAGCUCUUAAGACCCUACUGCUAGAAAAGAGCUCAUCUCUCCAUUUGGUCAGGGUAACAGUUCUCAAUCAAGAGUCAAACACUUCACAAGUAUGUGUGAAUAUAGAAAUACUGAGAAGCAACAGAUUAGGCCAUUUCUAUUCUUUUAUGAAAGAUGUAUUCAGGGCCUCAGUUUGGGUGACAUUUACUGAGGUUCCUUCCUUCCCUCCAAGUCUUCCUUGCCUGUGAUUCUCAAGUUAGUGUUUCAUCCAUGGUUUAGCUUUUAGUGAAAAUUCAUAAUUCCUGUGCUGGUCAAUUCCAUCGUAAGAACUAUUUAUGAAAUACUAGUCUUAUCUAAGGCUUUGUGCUAGGCACCCAGGACCAUCUUUAGAGGGAUUAACUACUAUCUCUGUCCUUUAGGAAGAGAUGGAAAAUUCUACAAUAGUGAAUACAAGUCAGAUUGGGACAAAUAUAAUAGAGAGGUAAACAAAGUGUUAUAUGUGCUUAAAGGAGGAAGCAAUUUAUUUUGCCUUGGAAUCAGGUAAGGCUUCCUAGAGGUGUGACAUUUGGAUUAUUCUUUAGAGGAGAAGAAAGAUUUGAAUAGAUGGAGCUAGAGGAAAAAAUCCAAAACUCUGGAAGUGUGAAAGCCAAUGACAUGAUCCAGGAAAGGAGAUGAGUGAGUCUGUUUUGGGUAGAGCAUUAGCUGUGUAUGAAGAGAAAGUGGCAGUACUUUUUGAAGUUUAGAGCAAUUUCAGUUUAUUAGUGGCUUUGAAUAUUGUGCUGGAGAAUUUGGACUUUAUUCUAAAAAUACCCUAGAAAGGGCUAGUAAAAGCUUCUGGACUGACAGGGUGUGCCAAGUGAUUAUAGCUGUACCUCAGAAAGGUUAGCGAUAUGAAAGAUGACUUGGGGCAGAGAGACAAGCAAGUAGUGACAGGACAUCCAUUGGGUGCUGUUACAAUAAUAUAACUGUAGAUGACAUGACAUGGGACAGUGACAUUAGAAACAGAAUUGAGAGCAUAAUCUAAGAGACAUUCUGAAUCUAGAAUUAGAUGUGGUGGAAUACACAAAUGACUGAAGUCUCUACUUCAGGUGAUUCAAAAAUGGAGAAGCCAUGAGCUAAGAUAAGGAAAUUUAGGAGGUUUGAAGGAGAAACCAAUGAAUACUUCAACUGAUAUUUUUUAACACACUUUGAUUAUAUACACCAUUUCUUUCCCUUUUAAAAAAAAGUAAUAGUUAUUUCCUCAAUACAUUUUUUUCUACUGUACAGCAUGGUGACCCAAUUACACAUACAUGUACACAUUCUAUUUUUGCACAUUAUCAUGCUCCAUCAUAAGUGACUAGACACAGUUCCCAGUGCUACACAGCAGGAUCUCAUUGCUAAUCCAUUCCAAAGGCAAUAGUUUGUAUCUAUUAACCCCAAGCUCCCCAACCACCCCACUCCCUCCCCCUCCCCCUUGGCAACCACAAGUCUAUUCUGCAAGUUCAUGAUGUUUUUUUCUGUGGAAAGGUUCAUUUGUGCCAUAUAUGAGAUUCCAGAUAUAAGUGAUAUCAUAUGUCUUUGUCUUUCCCUUUUUUGAUAUCAUAUGUAUUUGUCUUUCCCUUUUUUGAAGACAAGCAUUUUACAGCUGUUUGUUCUAGAUUCCAUUAUUAGAAUUAUACCCUAUUUUGUUUCUGACGCAAGACCUUGACACUUCUUCAUUCCUCAAAGAAAUAGGAAAAAAGGUAUGUUUUUCAGUCUGUCACUUCUAAACAUAUUUCUGUUUUUACCCUAAUCUCAGGUAUUUCUGAAGAGUAUCUUGAGCCAUACUCAAGACAGACUCUUUGACCUAAUUCCCUUUCCUCUGACCACAGUCUUGAGGAUGAGACAACUUUAAAUCUUUACUAAUGCUUAUAGGAUUCUCAGAGUUAGACAGAAUUGGCCUUUAGAAGGCUAAAAUUGGAGCCAAAGUGGAUUCUUGGAUCAUGUAUCUCUUGCUGUCUAUGAAACUGCCAGAUUCCAUCCCAGUGGGUGGAAAUGGACACCAGCUCCCGAGGAAGUGAUGACUGCACACGGGUGUCUGCUACCUCUGCCGGUUUCUUUUCUCAAGGAGGAAGGAAACUGUGGGCUUCCCUAGGCACUCUCUUUUUCUUUUAACACAGGAGAACUGGAGAGACUUGGCCUUUGGAGUUUGGAUAGUGAACCUAAGGCUGGAGGGGUUUCCAGAGAGCAGACAGUUGCCAUCUCUGAACGUUGUUGCUUUCUUUUUCCACCCGCUUUCCUGUGCUGUACAGUUCAUUUCAUCUCCAGAAUUUUAGUGCACAGUGUUAGGACAUCUUAGUGGAGAGCUGGGAGUUCAAAGGCAAUGCAAGGGUUCAUGGUAGAGACGCCAAAAUGGAAGGAAGGGACUGUGCCAUUGUGCUGUUUUCUUGCAGAUGAAGUGUAAUUUAUAUAAAUAUUCAGACUCUUUCCUAACUCGUUUCUUUAUUAGAUUUGCAUAUCCAAUGACUGGUCCUCCUUAAAGAGGUGAAAAGUGGAGUUCCCGUCAUGGUGCAGUGGGUAAUGAAUCCUACGAGGAACCAUGAGGUUGCAGGUUCGAUCCCUGGCCUUGCUCAGUGGGUUAAGGAUCCAGUGUUGCCAUGAGCUGUGGUGUAGGUCACAGACGCAGCUUGGAUCUCACAUUGCUAUGGCUCUGGCGAAGGCCAGUGGCUACAGCUCUGAUUAGACCCCUAGCCUGGGAACCUCCGUAUGCCUCA
RNAcentral lists this long non-coding RNA (4455 nucleotides) under Sus scrofa (pig). Its description in RNAcentral is "lncRNA (ENSSSCG00015049151.1)". Lineage: Eukaryota; Metazoa; Chordata; Mammalia; Artiodactyla; Suidae. The record is from RNAcentral.